GAGAGCACUCCUGUGGCACACAGAAAUGAUUCUUGGGUUUCUAUUCAUUUUGACAGAUUUUGGAGUGAAGGGCACUGUUAAAGUAAAGCACAGAGAGUGAUUCCUUGGGCGGCCAGGCACCACCUAGGGAAGAAAGGUGGGGAUCCUGGUCCCUAGGCUGACAGCAACUGAGACCUGAUAGGUUCCUCAGCCCCCCAGGUGAUGGCCAAGUGAGACAGGCCUCAGGAGCUCCUCUCCAAAGAAAACAGUCAUUUUUUUUCCUACCUGUCCCUUUCAGUCUUUGGAAGCUCCCUCCAGAAACCGAACUGUGAAAGGAGCAAGAGUUGAAAUGAAGAAUGUGCUCUGAUACUUCAGUCUGAGAGUAUUUCUUUCCUGGAGAGAGAGGCAUCACUCCUAGAUGUGUGGGGGUCUUCACCCUUUCAGGAAUAAGACAGGUCCCUGCAGAGACUUUGGACCUGAUGUGGUGAAUAAAGUUGGUUAGUCUUUCUCACAGUUCUACCUUUAGGACAAAGAAUAGAAAGCCUCCCGUGACUAUAUUCACUAACUCUCAGCCCAGGCCAGAUCAUCCACCAGCCAGUGAAAGGGACCUCGUCUGUGGCCAAACUAGGUGCAGCUCGGUGCCCUCCUGUGAUAUUUCCAGCUCUCCAGCCUCCUGCUGACCACAGCUCACAGACCUCAUGGAGUAGUUUCCAGGACAAAGCAAGGUUAUGUCUCCACAACACCAAACAUUCCCAGGUGUGGCAGGCAAGCCAUUGAUUUAGAAGAGAGGAGGAGAGAGGAAGAGAAAACCAGAAAAGGCACUUUCUUGGUAAAGAGACAUCAGCUUUCUCACCAUGGCUGUUUCAUAACACAAGGAGACCUGGCCCAAGCUCAGAGGGGAAAGACCCCUGGGUGUUCAUGGAAAACCUUUAAGCACAGUGAGACCAAAUGUUAGUAGAUGGGGGAUAAAAGGGAGAAAUUCAUGGAGUAUGCCUAGAACAGGCCUUGUAUGCAGCAUCCCCUUCUUGCCUAGGACUUGAAGGGCCAGGCUUCCUGUCAUUGCCUCACUCAAAUGUAGCCCAGGAAGACAUUAGACUGAUAGCACUGAUCACCUCCAGACAAAACCCCUGCACCUGCACAGUCACAUAGACUUGGACAAAAGCCCAUCCUUACUAAGGAAGACCUAACAACUAUUUCUUCUCACGCCCAUUCUUGUCCACCGUCUUUAUCAAAAAGCCAGGAAAACUGCUUCUUCAGACACUUUCUGAGCCGGCUGUAUUUUGAAGGACAAAAAAAAAAAAAUUACUCUUUUGAGAGCAUUGUGUCUGCAAGGUGGGCUCACGUUAUUUUUGGUGAUCAGUUUAUGACUGGAGUUCAAAUAGACUGCUUAUUUUAUAAGAGUUUUUAAUUUUGAAUAUUCUUUUUGCUGAA
Molecule: long non-coding RNA, 1410 nt
Filed under: Homo sapiens (human)
Lineage: Eukaryota; Metazoa; Chordata; Mammalia; Primates; Hominidae
Description: HSALNT0399874
Source: RNAcentral